Molecule: ribosomal RNA, 453 nt
Filed under: uncultured bacterium
Lineage: Bacteria
Description: partial 16S ribosomal RNA
Rfam family: Bacterial small subunit ribosomal RNA
Source: RNAcentral
CUACGGGGGGCUCCAGUGGGGAAUUUUGCGCAAUGGGGGAAACCCUGACGCAGCAACGCCGCGUGAAGGAUGAAGGCCUUUGGGUCGUAAACUUCUGUCAGAGGGGAAGAAAUGCCCGCAAGGGAGCUGACGGUACCCUCAAAGGAAGCACCGGCUAACUCCGUGCCAGCAGCCGCGGUAAUACGGAGGGUGCAAGCGUUGUUCGGAAUUAUUGGGCGUAAAGAGCAUGUAGGCGGACUGUUAAGUCUGGUGUGAAAGCCCGGGGCUCAACCCCGGAAGUGCAUUGGAUACUGGCAGUCUUGAGUAUGGGAGAGGAAAGUGGAAUUCCGAGUGUAGGAGUGAAAUCCGUAGAUAUUCGGAGGAACACCAGUGGCGAAGGCGGCUUUCUGGACCAAUACUGACGCUGAGAUGCGAAAGCGUGGGGAGCAAACAGGAUUAGAUACCCCUGUAGUC